UGAAAACAGACUAAUACAAAGGCAUGGACUUGUCACCAUCUUUAGGCCUUCUUACUUCCAUUAUCUAAAUUACUCUCUUUUGAACAAAUGCUUUUUUUCAACAGGUGUCUUCUGAGAAGUCAUUUUGAUACAGUAUGAAUUCAAUAAGACAAGUCUUCCAUUGAGUAUGCUUGGGCAAGUACGGCUGGAAUAGAAAAGAUAGUGGAUUCCUUGGCUUCAUCCAAGUGGACUGAGGGUUGAAAUAUUUUUCCAGUCAUGUUCUUGAACACCAACUUUCAUGGCAUGCUGACAUUUCCAGACUACUGAAGUUGUGAUGAUUAAAUGAUCCUGCAUUUGAUGAGAAGAAAGUUUGCACAUUCUAAAGGAGCUACGUUUCAAAUGACUAUAUAGGGUACAAUUUCCACUGAAGUGAUUUCUCUUAAUCUUAAUCCUUAACCACUGUCACUGCUACAGUACCUUCCAAAAGUGAGCAUAGUUUAUAAAGUCUUCAGACUACCUUUCAGCACAUUAACAUACUCUUCACAAUCCCACAGUAAGAGCACCUUAAGUGCAGGGA
Molecule: long non-coding RNA, 556 nt
Organism: Cercocebus atys (sooty mangabey)
Lineage: Eukaryota; Metazoa; Chordata; Mammalia; Primates; Cercopithecidae
Exons: 2
Source: RefSeq, a predicted model, not a curated record